GCGAAACCGCGAAUGGCUCAUUAAAUCAGUUAUGGUUCCUUGGAUCGUACUUUACUACUUGGAUAACUGUGGCAAUUCUAGAGCUAAUACAUGCAGCAGAGCUCCGACCUUCGGGGACGAGCGCUUUUAUUAGACCAAAACCAAUCGGGCCUCGUGUCCGUGAAACGUGGUGACUCUGUAUAACUUUGGGCUGAUCGCACGGGCUCGUCCCGGCGACGUAUCUUUCAAGUGUCUGCCUUAUCAACUGUCGAUGGUAGGUUACGCGCCUACCAUGGUCGUAACGGGUGACGGGGAAUCAGGGUUCGAUUCCGGAGAGGGAGCCUGAGAAACGGCUACCACAUCCAAGGAAGGCAGCAGGCGCGCAAAUUACCCACUCCCGGAACGGGGAGGUAGUGACGAAAAAUAACAAUACGGGACUCUUUUGAGACCCCGUAAUUGGAAUGAGUACACUCUAAAUCCUUUAACGAUUAUCCAUUGGAGGGCAAGUCCAGUGCCAGCAGCCGCAGUAAUUCUGGCUCCAAUAGCGUAUAUUAAAGUUGUUGCGGUUAAAAAGCUCGUAGUUGGAUCUCAGUUCCGGACGGGCGGUCCGCCUAACGGCGGCCACUGCCCUUCCCGAACAGGCCAGCCGGUUUCUCCUGAUGAUCUUCACCGGUUGUCUCGGGUGACCGGCAAGUUUACUUUGAAAAAAUUAGAGUGCUCAAAGCAGGCGCGACGCCUGAAUAAUGGUGCAUGGAAUAAUGGAAUAGGACCUCGGUUCUAUUUUGUUGGUUUUCGGAACGCGAGGUAAUGAUUAAGAGGGACAGACGGGGGCAUUCGUAUUGCGACGCUAGAGGUGAAAUUCUUGGACCGUCGCACGACGAACUACUGCGAAAGCAUUUGCCAAGAAUGUUUCCAUUAAUCAAGAACGAAAGUUAGAGGUCCGAAGGCGAUCAGAUACCGCCCUAGUUCUAACCAUAAACGAUGCCAGCCAGCGAUCCGGCUAAUGACACCGCGGGCAGCUUCCGGGAAACAAAGCUUUGGGUUCC
This 1025-nucleotide ribosomal RNA is filed under the name Dubiaranea similis. RNAcentral's name for it is "SSU rRNA". It matches the Rfam family "Eukaryotic small subunit ribosomal RNA", at positions 81 to 1115 of the family's 1831-position model. The record is from RNAcentral. Lineage: Eukaryota; Metazoa; Arthropoda; Arachnida; Araneae; Linyphiidae.